GAGUAGGGCCGGGCACGUGAAACCCGGUCCGAACCUGGGUGGACCACCAUCCAAGCCUGAGUACUACCCUGUGACCGAUAGCGCACCAGUACCGUGAGGGAAAGGUGAAAAGCACCCCGGGAGGGGAGUGAAACAGUACCUGAAACCGUGCGCCCACGAGCAGUCGGAGCACCUUUAUGGUGUGACGGCGUGCCUUUUGUAGAAUGAGCCAGCGAGUCGCUGGCGCGGGGCGAGGUUAACCGAAAGGGAGCCGGAGCGAAAGCGAGCCUUAACAGGGCGACUUGAGUCCCGCGCCGCGGACGCGAAGCCGGGUGAGCUAUCCGUGGGCAGGCUGAAGCGGGGGUAAGACCCCGUGGAGGGCCGAACGCACGUCGGUUGAAAACGGCGGCGAUGACCUGCGGAUAGGGGUGAAAGGCCAAUCAAACCCGGAGAUAUCUCGUUCUCCCCGAAAUAGCUUUAGGGCUAGCGUCGCGCGUUCACCGCCGGAGGUAGAGCACCGGAUGGACGAGGGGGCUUCGCCGCCUACCGAAUCCAACCGAACUCCGAAUGCCGGCGGCCCAGAGCGCGGCAGUCAGAGCAUGUGGGCUAAGCUGUGUGCUCGAGAGGGAAACAGCCCGGACCGCCCGCUAAGGUCCCCAAGUUCCAGCCGAGUGGCAAAGGAUGUGCGUCCGCCCAGACAACCAGGAUGUUGGCUUAGAAGCAGCCAUCCAUUCAAAGAGUGCGUAACAGCUCACUGGUCGAGUGGACAUGCGCCGACAAUACACGGGGCUAAGCUGGACACCGAAGCGGCGGGAUUUUAAUUCAUUAGAAUCGGUAGGGGAGCUUCCCAUGGGCGGAGAAGCCGGAGGGCGACCGACGGUGGAGCGCAUGGGAGUGAGAAUGCUGGCAUGAGUAGCGAGAGACGAGAGAGUAACUCGUCCGCCGUGAACCCGAGGUUUCCUGGGCAAGGCUAAUCCUCCCAGGGUCAGUCGGGGGCUAAGGCGAGGCCGGUAGGCGUAGCCGACGCGCAGCAGGCAGACAUUCCUGCACCGCGCACGCGGCGCUACGACCGACGGGGCGACGGAUGGGGGUGGCUCGGCGGGGUUCUGGACGUCCCCGUGAUGGAGCGCGGCCCGCGGACCAGGGAAAUCCGGUCCGCACGAGGGCGAGGCUCCGGACGAAGCGACUGAGCGAAGCGAGUGAGCCCGAGGUCCCUAGAAAAACCCCUAGGCAGGCGCGUGCGCGCCCGUACCGCAAACCGACACAGGUGGGUGGGUAGAACAUACCGAGGCGAUCGGGUCAACCAUGGUCAAGGAACUCGGCACAAUGGCCCCGUAACUUCGGGAGAAGGGGUGCCCGCGCGUACGUGAACCGGCUUGCCCGGGGAGCGGAGGCGGGCCGCAGUGGAGAGGCCCAAGCGACUGUUUACCAAAAACACAGGACUCUGCAGAAGCCGCAAGGCGACGUAUAGGGUCUGACGCCUGCCCGGUGCCGGAAGGUCACGCGGAGGAGUUAGCCAUUAAGGCGAAGCCCCGAAGCCAAGCCCCGGUAAACGGCGGCCGUAACUAUAACGGUCCUAAGGUAGCGAAAUUCCUUGUCGGGUAAGUUCCGACCUGCACGAAAGGCGCAACGACUUGGGCGCUGUCUCGACCAUGGACCCGGUGAAAUUGCACUGGUCGUGAAGAUGCGACUUACCCGCGGAAGGACGGAAAGACCCCGUGAACCUUCACUGCAGCUUGGCAUUGGCCGCUGGUCCCGCGUGUAGAGGAUAGGCAGGAGGCACAGAUCCGGAGGCGCCAGCCCCCGGGGAGCCGCCCUUGGAAUACUGCCCUCGCGCGACCGGCGUCCUAACCCGAGGCCGUCAACCGGCUCGGGGACCGUGCCAGGCGGGCAGUUUGACUGGGGCGGUCGCCUCCUAAAGGGUAACGGAGGCGCGCGAAGGUCCGCUCGGGACGGUCGGCAACCGUCCUUUUGAAUGCAAGAGUACAAGCGGGCUUGACUGCGAGGCCCACAAGCCGAGCAGGUGCGAAAGCAGGCUCUAGUGAUCCGGCGGCCCCGAGUGGGUGGGCCGUCGCUCAACGGAUAAAAGGUACUCCGGGGAUAACAGGCUGAUCUUGCCCAAGAGUCCACAUCGACGGCAAGGUUUGGCACCUCGAUGUCGGCUCAUCGCAUCCUGGGGCUGGAGCAGGUCCCAAGGGUACGGCUGUUCGCCGUUUAAAGCGGUACGCGAGCUGGGUUCAGAACGUCGUGAGACAGUUCGGUCCCUAUCC
Molecule: ribosomal RNA, 2249 nt
Filed under: gut metagenome
Description: bacterial LSU rRNA
Rfam family: Bacterial large subunit ribosomal RNA
Source: RNAcentral